GACGAACGCUGGCGGCGUGCUUAACACAUGCAAGUCGAACGAUGAAGCCCAGCUUGCUGGGUGGAUUAGUGGCGAACGGGUGAGUAACACGUGAGCAACGUGCCCGAGACUCUGGAAUAACUACCGGAAACGGUGGCUAAUACUGGACAUGUGCCAGGGAGGCAUCUGCUCUGGUUGGAAAGAUUUUUCGGUUUCGGAUCGGCUCACGGCCUAUCAGCUUGUUGGUGGGGUAAUGGCCUACCAAGGCGACGACGGGUAGCCGGCCUGAGAGGGUGACCGGCCACACUGGGACUGAGACACGGCCCAGACUCCUACGGGAGGCAGCAGUGGGGAAUAUUGCACAAUGGGCGCAAGCCUGAUGCAGCAACGCCGCGUGGGGGAUGACGGCCUUCGGGUUGUAAACCUCUUUUAGUAGGGAAGAAGCGCAAGUGACGGUACCUGCAGAAAAAGCACCGGCUAACUACGUG
This 467-nucleotide ribosomal RNA is filed under the name uncultured bacterium. RNAcentral's name for it is "partial 16S ribosomal RNA". It matches the Rfam family "Bacterial small subunit ribosomal RNA", at positions 28 to 507 of the family's 1533-position model. The record is from RNAcentral.